GAUGAAGAACGUAGCGAAAUGCGAUAAGUAAUGUGAAUUGCAGAAUUUAGUGAAUCAUCGAAUCUUUGAACGCACAUUGCGCCCACCAGUAUUCUGAUGGGCAUGCCUGUUCGAGCGUCAUUUCAAACCCUCAAGCUCUGCUGCUUAGUGUUGGGGACCGCUGUAAAAUGCGCCCUCUAAAGAAAUUGGCGGAGUUGUUUAGGGCUCUCAGCGUAGUAAUUUUCUCGCUUUAGUGACCUGGCAGCACCUGCCACAGGCCUAUUUUCUCAAGGUUUGACCUCGGAUCAGGUAGGAAUACCCGCUGAACUUAAGCAUAUCAAUAAGCGGAGGA
This 331-nucleotide unclassified non-coding RNA is filed under the name soil metagenome. Its description in RNAcentral is "partial contains 5.8S ribosomal RNA, internal transcribed spacer 2, and large subunit ribosomal RNA". The stretch from base 1 to 120 matches the Rfam family "5.8S ribosomal RNA", at positions 35 to 154 of the family's 154-position model. The record is from RNAcentral.